This 480-nucleotide ribosomal RNA is filed under the name Bacteroidetes bacterium oral taxon 274. RNAcentral describes it as "bacterial SSU rRNA". It matches the Rfam family "Bacterial small subunit ribosomal RNA", at positions 28 to 500 of the family's 1533-position model. The record is from RNAcentral. Lineage: Bacteria; Pseudomonadati; Bacteroidota.
GAUGAACGCUAGCGAUAGGCUUAACACAUGCAAGUCGAGGGGCAUCACGAAUUAGCAAUAGUUUGGUGGCGACCGGCGCACGGGUGCGUAACACGUAUACAACCUACCUUCAAUUGGGGGAUAACCUGGAGAAAUUCGGACUUAAUACCCCAUAGUAAACAGAAGAGGCAUCUUUUUUGUUUCAAAGAUUUAUUGAUUGGAGAUGGGUAUGCGUAGGAUUAGCUAGUUGGUAAGGUAACGGCUUACCAAGGCGACGAUCCUUAGGGGUUCUGAGAGGAAGGUCCCCCACACUGGUACUGAGACACGGACCAGACUCCUACGGGAGGCAGCAGUGAGGAAUAUUGGUCAAUGGUCGAGAGACUGAACCAGCCAAGUCGCGUGAAGGAAGACGGCUCUAUGAGUUGUAAACUUCUUUUGUACAGGAGUAAAGUGAGACACGCGUGUUUUAUUGCAAGUACUGUACGAAUAAGCAUCGGCUAA